GAGGCUGUUGCCCAUUGUAGAGAGACCUUGUCAAUUGCAGUGGAUUUGGCUCUACCCAUUUAUUAGGGGCUUUUGCCUGUUGCAGUAAAGAAAGGCUUCGGCCUAAGAUUGAAGGCACCAUUUAUGGUGUAAUAUUGUAAUAGUAAAUAUAUUUAGUUAUAUUUAAAGGAGACUGAGAGGGACUAACUAAUAUAUUUACUAUGGACAGUUUGAUAUAAUGUGGGUUCUCUUAGGUGUAAUUGGGUUGAUAGAUAGUAUAAUUUUGAGCUUGUAAUG
Molecule: unclassified non-coding RNA, 276 nt
Filed under: Hevea brasiliensis (rubber tree)
Lineage: Eukaryota; Viridiplantae; Streptophyta; Magnoliopsida; Malpighiales; Euphorbiaceae
Source: RNAcentral